This 585-nucleotide ribosomal RNA is filed under the name uncultured bacterium. RNAcentral's name for it is "partial 16S ribosomal RNA". It matches the Rfam family "Bacterial small subunit ribosomal RNA", at positions 355 to 1375 of the family's 1533-position model. The record is from RNAcentral.
UGGGGAAUUUUGGACAAUGGGCGAAAGCCUGAUCCAGCAAUGCCGCGUGUGUGAAGAGGGCCUUCGGGUUGUAAAGCACUUUUGUCCGGAAAGAAAUCCUUGGCUCUAAUACAGUCGGGGGAUGACGGUACCGGAAGAAUAAGCACCGGCUAACUACGUGCCAGCAGCCGCGGUAAUACGUAGGGUGCAAGCGUUAAUCGGAAUUACUGGGCGUAAAGCGUGCGCAGGCGGUUUGCUAAGACCGAUGUGAAAUCCCCGGGCUCAACCUGGGAACUGCAUUGGUGACUGGCAGGCUAGAGUAUGGCAGAGGGGGGUAGAAUUCCACGUGUAGCAGUGAAAUGCGUAGAGAUGUGGAGGAAUACCGAUGGCGAAGGCAGCCCCCUGGGCCAAUACUGACGCUCAUGCACGAAAGCGUGGGGAGCAAACAGGAUUAGAUACCCUGGUAGUCCACGCCCUAAACGAUGUCAACUAGUUGUUGGGGAUUCAUUUCCUUAGUAACGUAGCUAACGCGUGAAGUUGACCGCCUGGGGAGUACGGUCGCAAGAUUAAAACUCAAAGGAAUUGACGGGGUCAUAGCUGUUUCCU